This 497-nucleotide ribosomal RNA is filed under the name uncultured bacterium. Its description in RNAcentral is "partial 16S ribosomal RNA". It matches the Rfam family "Bacterial small subunit ribosomal RNA", at positions 28 to 507 of the family's 1533-position model. The record is from RNAcentral.
GAUGAACGCUGGCGGCGUGCCUAAUACAUGCAAGUCGAGCGAACAGACGAGGAGCUUGCUCCUCUGACGAUAGCGGCGGACGGGUGAGUAACACGUGGAUAACCUACCUAUAAGACUGGGAUAACUUCGGGAAACCGGAGCUAAUACCGGAUAAUAUAUUGAACCGCAUGGUUCAAUAGUGAAAGACGGUUUUGCUGUCACUUAUAGAUGGAUCCGCGCCGCAUUAGCUAGUUGGUAAGGUAACGGCUUACCAAGGCGACGAUGCGUAGCCGACCUGAAAGCGUGAUCGGCCACACUGGAUCUGAGACACGGUCCAGACUCCUACGGGAGGCCGCAGUAGGGAAUCUUCCGCAAUGGGCGAAAGCCUGACGGAGCAACGCCGCGUGAGUGAUGAAGGUCUUCGGAUCGUAAAACUCUGUUAUUAGGGAAGAACAAAUGUGUAAGUAACUAUGCACGUCUUGACGGUACCUAAUCAGAAAGCCACGGCUAACUACGUG